UAGGGAAUAUUGGACAAUGGGGGCAACCCUGAUCCAGCCAUGCCGCGUGAGUGAAGAAGGCCCUCGGGUUGUAAAGCUCUUUUGUCCGGAAAGAAAAGCUUCGGGUUAAUACCCCGGGGUUCUGACGGUACCGGAAGAAUAAGCACCGGCUAACUUCGUGCCAGCAGCCGCGGUAAUACGAAGGGUGCAAGCGUUACUCGGAAUUACUGGGCGUAAAGCGUGCGUAGGUGGUUGUUUAAGUCUGAUGUGAAAGCCCUGGGCUCAACCUGGGAAUGGCAUUGGAAACUGGGCAGCUAGAGUGCGGUAGAGGGCAGUGGAAUUCCAGGUGUAGCAGUGAAAUGCGUAGAGAUCGGGAGGAACAUCUGUGGCGAAGGCGACUGCCUGGACCAGCACUGACACUGAGGCACGAAAGCGUGGGGAGCAAACA
Molecule: ribosomal RNA, 427 nt
Filed under: uncultured bacterium
Lineage: Bacteria
Description: bacterial SSU rRNA
Rfam family: Bacterial small subunit ribosomal RNA
Source: RNAcentral